UUGCAAUGUUAAUAUUUCGUCAUUGAUAUAUAAACUAUCAGACUGCAUGGUCAGUAGUAGUGGGUUUCAGUAGGCCUUUAAAAAAAGGCAAUAUCGCCCAGACCUACCCAGGACCUUCGUAUUGUGAGGCCCCAUGUUAUAUCCUCACUUUGAAAACCCUCCUGGACUAAACAUGCAGAACAGCUUCCUAGGAAUUCCUGAAGAUGCAUAAAGGGGGUGUGUCUGAAACUUAAAGACCCCUUCAUUUUCUCCCUCCCUCCACACACACUUGCUGUUAAGAUACCUUAAAUUUGGGCACCGGUAGGUCGGUUUCUUUGUACUUUGUCCACAAACGUCCGAUUCUGGGGUCUCGUACAAUGUCCACCGGUGGCAUCCCCGGGUUCUGUGGAAGGAGGCAAGGCAUGCACACAUGUGCUGUCAUCUAUUACUCGCGUAAACAAUAAAAGCAGCAAGGAGGCUCGGGUCACGGUGGCAUCACAACACGAUCCGGACACACUGUAGCCCCAUAAUGGAGGUCGCCGACUCGGAUUGCACUUACGGGCAUGCUGAACGUGUGUCCAUCGUAGCGGUAGAGCUUGUGCGAUCCCUUCCUGAGCGCCGGGUCGAUGAUCAACUUGUAACUUCUCCACUGGUGACUCCGCUUCUCCGCCGAGCCCGCACACCGGGUGACUGUCGGUGCCGUUGGCCAGCGCUGGAAGGGACAGGCGGAGGGAUCAAGCAAAAGCGGCGGCGGCGGCGGCGGGGGGCGAAAGCAAGCUAACGUGAAGCAGCGCUAACUCAACACGGUCCCGUAACCACCACCACCACCACCACCCCGUGUCCUCGACACUUCCACGCAAACGUGCAUGACUUUCAGCGACAAUGCAACGCCAUCACGACGGACAAUUGGACGGAGAGAGAGAGAGAGAGAGAGAAGAGAAGGGGGGAAAGCUUACUUGAACUCUGCUUUCUGCCAUGGUCUUCGUGCAAUUUGUUUCGCUCCCCCGGCUUGGACAUGGCUGGUCCGAUCGAGGGGGAUUUCAGUCUGGAAUCGAUUAAGGAAUCGCUUUCGCCCUUUUCCGCCGUUCAGAUUACAUGAUUUAUCUUGAGGAAUAGCGCCUGCCUUUUCGGCGAGAGCCAGCACAUAUUGUGUGUAUGUGUGUGUGUAUGUAUGUGUGUGUAGCUUCUGUCUCUCCCACAAUACACUGCUAGGCUUCGCCAGUGCCGAACGCCAAAUCGCACUUUCGCCACAAACUUCCUCGGCCCCUGCCUGGUCGCAUUUUCUCCAGUUAAAAAAAACACACAAUUAUUUGCGUUAAAAUAUCCUUGGCACUAAAAACACAUACGGCUGAUUUUUUUAGAAGAAAAAAAAAUGUGUCGUUUUAACCGCUCGACGGUGGAGCGUGUCGAAUCUGCCACUCGCGUGUACCUAACUGACAAACAAAUGCAUUGUGCUGCAAUUCGGCGACACAUUAGUGAAAAGAACGGCGACGGAGGAAUAUAUGUCAAUACUUCAGCUGGCACCUUUAUAAUUUCACGUAAAGAAAUACAUAAUAGUGCCUCCUCUCCAUAGAUCAUAGCUUCAAAGAGCCAAACUAACGUCAUCUGACGUCGUUCUGAUAUUUAUUAUAUAUAUAUAUAUAUAUAUAUAUAUUUUUUUUUUUUAAUUCCAUCCAUCCAUUUCCUACCGCUUAUUCCCUUUGGGGUUGCGGUGGGCGCUGGUGCCUAUCUCAGCUACAAUAGGGCGGAAGGCAGUGUACACCAUGGACAAUUCAUCACCUCAUCGCAGUUUUUUUAUAAGUAUAUAUUUUUUUAUUGUUAUUUUUAUUUUGGACAAACACCGUUUUUUUCCCUUUCUUUUUGACAUUGCCUGCUGUUUUUCUUUUUGCAGUGCUCGGGCAAUUGGCUGGUUAACAGUAGGGGCGGAAGGCGGCGUACACCCUGGACAAGUCGCCACAACCAUGGCAGUUUUCUUUAAUAUAUAUUUUUUUAUUAUUAUUUUUAUUUUGGACAAACACUGUUUUUUUUUCUCUUUCUUUUUGACAUUGCCUGCUGUUUUCUUUUUUCAGUGCUCGGGCAAAUGGCUGGUUAACAGUGGGGAUGGAAGGCGGUGUACACCCUGGACAAGUCGCCACAUCAUCGCAGUUUUUUAAAUAAUUUUUAUUUAUUUUUUUAUUGUUAUUUUUAUUUUGGACGAACACUGUUUUUUUUCUCUUUCUUUUUGACAUUGCCUGCUGUUUCUUUUUUCAGUGCUCGGGCAAAUGGCUGGUUAACAGUGGGGGGCGGAAGGCGGUGUACACCCUGGACAAGUCGCCACUCCAUGGCAGUUUUCUUUAAUAUAUAUUUUUUUAUUAUUAUUUUUAUUUUGGACAAACACAGUUUUUUUUCUCUUUCUUUUUGACAUUGCCUGCUGUUUUCUUUUUGCAGUGCUCGGGCAAUUUGGCUGGUUAACAGUGGGGGCGGAAGGCGGGGUACAACCUGGACAAGUCCCCGCUCAUCGCAGUUUUUUUCAGAAUUAAAAUUUUUUUUUUAAAUUAUUUUCAUUUUGGACACUGUUUUUUCCCCUUUCUUUCUGACAUUGCCUGCUGUUUUCUUUUUGCAGUGCUCGGGCAAUUGGCUGGUUAACAGUGGAAGCGGAAGGGGGUGUACACUCUGGACAAGUCGCCACCUCAUCGCAGUUUUUUUAUAAUUAUUAUUUUUAUUUUGGACGAACACUGUUUUUUCCCCUUUCUUUUUGACAUUGCCUGCUGUUUUCUUUUUGCAGUGCUCGGGCAUUUGGCUGGUUAACAGUGGGGGCGGAAGGCGGUGCACACCCUGGACAAGUCGCCACCUCAUCGCAGUUUUUUUAUAAUUAUUAUUUUUUAUUUUUAGCGAACACUGUUUUUUCCCCUUUCUUUUUGACAUUGCCUGCUGUUUUCUUUUUGCAGUGCUCGGGCAAUUGGCUGGUUAACAGUGGGGGCGGAAGGCGGUGCACACCCUGGACAAGUUGCCACCUCAUCGCAGUUUUUUUAAAAUUUUUUUAUUAUUAUUUUCAUUUUGGACAAACACUGUUUUUUUCCCUUUCUUUUUGACAUUGCCUGCUGUUUUCUUUUUGCAGUGCUCGGGCCAUUGGCUGGUUAACAGUGGGGGCGGAAGGCGGUGCACACCCUGGACAAGUCGCCACCUCAUCGCAUAAUUUUUUUAUUAUUAUUUUCAUUUUGGACAAACACUGUUUUUUUCCCUUUCUUUUUGACAUUGCCUGCUGUUUUCUUUUUGCAGUGCUCGGGCCAUUGGCUGGUUAACAGUGGCAGGCUGGCGUAGCCAAUCAGAAGGCGGCAGCAGAGGAGCAGUCUGCUAUUAGAGGCAAGGCUCAGGAGUCCUUCAACAGAGCAGAGAGAGAGGGGGGCCCUGAAAGCUCCCGGCAGCCAUUUUCCUGCUUAGAAACAUGGGGACUUCAUAGGCCUAGCUGGGUUUCCUUUGUCUCACAAAAAAAAAAAGGGAUCUUACACUUGAUUUCCUCAACCUCUCACGGACUAUGAUAAGCCUUAUGAUUGCUCCUUUGAAAAGGAUUUGAGAAGAAGGAAGAGAGAAAAUGUGCUGGAUGUAAUUACCCUGUGACAUUUUGAGCCUUUUUUCCUCUGCCUGGAAUCCAUCUUUGUCCUAACUUGGUCACGGGCACACUCAUAUACAAUAUUAUUUGAAUAGAGAGGGUGUGAAAAAAAUUAAAAAUGUGAAUAAACAGCUCUUUUGAGGAAGUGAGGGUAAAAAAAAACCACAGUUGUAUGUUUAAAUGUAAGUCAGUUUUACACCUAUGGGCCUUGUAUGAGUAGCAAUGAGUAAGUCCAACUCUUCUAUAAUAUUUGCAGCAUGUUUAUUAAACUUGUUUUGUCAAUGUAUCAACUAAGCUACGCCAUAUGUCCUUUUUUAAAGAAAAAAUAUAUUAAUUGUUCUUAUAAAUACAACAUUUAUUGGUGGCCUGUCAUCAUUUGAAAAUACUCUCCUUAUAUUCCCUUGCAUUUGAUGCUUUGAAUAAUGGCUUUUUGAACAUUUUUCUCCCAUAGAAAGCUGAUGGAUUUUUCCAGAGAGAACAGCUCUGGGUGCCGGAUUUGGGUUGCCAUUUAUAAAGAACCAAAUUGUAGUCGACGUGAACUCCCUUCAAGGUCAGAUUUAAUUUCCCAAACCUGUCUAACUGGUGGGGGGUGUGGGGUGGGUUCCAUGCAGAAGUAGAAACCUUCCAAAGCCAAAAAUAAAAAAGGGACUAUAGCCAAAUAUUUACCUCAGCACUUGGGUGAAAUGCAGUAAAACAGGCCUUAAAAUGCAUAGGGGACAGUAUUCCAUCUUCCAUCUUUGGGAUCCUCUAAUAAUGCCAUUAAUAAGAGAUUGGGGAGGUCAUCCUGCAAAAAGAAAAGGAAUCAAUUAUUUGCACAAAAGAUGACAAUCAUUAGUGAUUUUCCAUUACCUCUCAGUCGGCAUCUUCAACCACCAUCAUCUGUUUUUGGGGCAAUAUGCAAAGCUUCUCUCUCUCCCCCCUGAAGACAGGAUAACAGUCAACUAACAUCGACCAUUCUCACUAAGAUUCACCAUUUAAAACCACAAGGAAACCUUAUUUGCCAAGCCCGCUAACAGCCGAGGACUUCAAGGACCUCAACUAAAAUGAGAUGACAGCACGCAGACGAAGCCGAAACAAGGAAAUCACAAGGCCCCUAGCACAUUCCGUCAUAUAUUGUGUGAACUGGACCUGCUUUGCAUAAUAUAUGUGACCACUCCUUUUUAGAGGCGGCCUCCGUGAUGUUGACUGGAACUUCUGAAUAAAUAGAGGGACGCGGGAGCUGAACCUUAGAGCAUAGGGCGAGACUGUGACUAAGUGUGCACCUCUAUGCGUUCUCCUCAUGAGCUAAAUUGAACUUUGUUCCUGCAUGGUUCCUUGCUUUUUCGUCUGAUUAAUAGAUGUCGCCAGUGUUUGAAACUGACAUUUACACGAUGAGUCGGGUGUGUCUUGACCUCCGCCGAACCCCUGAGCCCGACUCACCGAACCCCUAGGGUUCGAUCGAACCCAGGUUAAGAACCACUGAUCUAAGGUAAAAGUUCCAUUUUUAACUCAUUGAUUUAAUUUGUGUUACAACACGAGAACAGAAAGUAAACAUAUCUUGGUACUUGCUAUUAAUUGGAAAAAGUGUAGGAUCAAAUAAGCGUUGAUUCUUCCUACUCUUUUUCAAACAUGUAAAGAGAAAUGAAUACAUGUAUUUUAACUGUAUGCGUGUUCGAAAUAAACAUUCAAUAAAGCAUAAAUAAGCAAAAGGAA
Long non-coding RNA from Nerophis ophidion (straightnose pipefish), 5260 nucleotides. RefSeq lists it as uncharacterized. The transcript has 2 exons. NCBI's taxonomy places the organism in Eukaryota, Metazoa, Chordata, Actinopteri, Syngnathiformes, Syngnathidae. The record is from RefSeq and is a predicted model, not a curated record.